UACGUAGGGUGCGAGCGUUAAUCGGAAUUACUGGGCGUAAAGCGUGCGCAGGCGGCUUUGCAAGUCAGAUGUGAAAUCCCCGGGCUUAACCUGGGAACUGCAUUUGUGACUGCAUGGCUGGAGUGCGGCAGAGGGGGACGGAAUUCCGCGUGUAGCAGUGAAAUGCGUAGAUAUGCGGAGGAACACCGAUGGCGAAGGCAAUCCCCUGGGCCUGCACUGACGCUCAUGCACGAAAGCGUGGGGAGCAAACAGG
RNAcentral lists this ribosomal RNA (253 nucleotides) under uncultured bacterium. RNAcentral describes it as "partial 16S ribosomal RNA". It matches the Rfam family "Bacterial small subunit ribosomal RNA", at positions 524 to 776 of the family's 1533-position model. The record is from RNAcentral.